RNAcentral lists this ribosomal RNA (468 nucleotides) under uncultured bacterium. Its description in RNAcentral is "partial 16S ribosomal RNA". It matches the Rfam family "Bacterial small subunit ribosomal RNA", at positions 28 to 507 of the family's 1533-position model. The record is from RNAcentral.
GACGAACGCUGGCGGCGUGCUUAACACAUGCAAGUCGAACGGAAAGGCCCUGCUUUUGUGGGGUGCUCGAGUGGCGAACGGGUGAGUAACACGUGAGUAACCUGCCCUUGACUUUGGGAUAACUUCAGGAAACUGGGGCUAAUACCGGAUAGGAGCUCCUGCUGCAUGGUGGGGGUUGGAAAGUUUCGGCGGUUGGGGAUGGACUCGCGGCUUAUCAGCUUGUUGGUGGGGUAGUGGCUUACCAAGGCUUUGACGGGUAGCCGGCCUGAGAGGGUGACCGGCCACAUUGGGACUGAGAUACGGCCCAGACUCCUACGGGAGGCAGCAGUGGGGAGUAUUACACAGUGGGCGGAAGCCUGAUGCAGCAACGCCGCGUGCGGGAUGACGGCCUUCGGGUUGUAAACCGCUUUCGCCUGUGACGAAGCGUGAGUGACGGUAAUGGGUAAAGAAGCACCGGCUAACUACGUG